UACGUAGGAGGCGAGCGUUGUCCGGAUUUACUGGGCGUAAAGCGCGUGUAGGCGGCUUGGUCAGUCUGCUGUGAAAGCUCUCGGCUUAACCGGGAGAGGUCGGUGGAUACUGCCAGGCUUGAGGACGGUAGAGGGGGGUGGAAUUCCCGGUGUAGUGGUGAAAUGCGUAGAGAUCGGGAGGAACACCUGUGGCGAAGGCGGCCCCCUGGGCCGCUCCUGACGCUGAGACGCGAAGGCCAGGGUAGCGAACGGG
RNAcentral lists this ribosomal RNA (253 nucleotides) under uncultured bacterium. Its description in RNAcentral is "partial 16S ribosomal RNA". It matches the Rfam family "Bacterial small subunit ribosomal RNA", at positions 524 to 776 of the family's 1533-position model. The record is from RNAcentral.